This 297-nucleotide ribosomal RNA is filed under the name uncultured Pseudomonadota bacterium. RNAcentral describes it as "uncultured proteobacterium partial 16S ribosomal RNA". It matches the Rfam family "Bacterial small subunit ribosomal RNA", at positions 29 to 351 of the family's 1533-position model. Lineage: Bacteria; Pseudomonadati; Pseudomonadota. The record is from RNAcentral.
AACGAACGCUGGCGGCAGGCUUAACACAUGCAAGUCGAACGGGUGUAGCAAUACAUCAGUGGCAGACGGGUGAGUAACACGUGGGAACCUUCCUAGGGGUACGGAACAACUCAGGGAAACUUGAGCUAAUACCGUAUACGUCCGUAAGGAGAAAGAUUUAUCGCCCUUAGACGGGCCCGCGUCGGAUUAGCUAGUUGGUGGGGUAAUGGCUCACCAAGGCGACGAUCCGUAGCUGGUCUGAGAGGAUGACCAGCCACACUGGGACUGAGACACGGCCCAGACUCCUACGGGAGGCAG